CUAGGCUUUGCUACUUCUGCUGUGCCUUCCUCUGGUUUCGACGACUCAGACUUCCGCAAGAAAGGUCGCAUCAAAUCUGAGAAAAAGCCAACUUCUAAGGAUAAUAAUAAUAGUACCAAUAAAGACUCUCAACAUGGAAACGAAAACAACAACAAAAAGAGAAUCAACAAUGAUAAAUUUGGCAAAAAACCGAAGCCGCAGCAGCUUAAGGCGGAGCUUCAAGUCGAUAAUAAUUUAUGGAAUACAACUCCCGGCAAGUACAAAAACAUGCCAAAGCUUCCGCUUGUGAAAGCGAGCGCAUUGUCUGUGUGGUACGCUGAUGCAGGAGAAUUGGAGGACAAGGUUAUUGGGAGUGACAGUACCAAUAAAAUUGCCGAGUUUAAGAAUGUCAAUGAAUGGAAAAGCAAGGUGGAAAAGAAGAAGGAAUUGGGCGAGAGGUUAUUGGCCCAGUAUGCGCAGGACUAUGAGUCGUCUCGAGGACAAAGUGGCGAUAUAAAAAUGUUACUUACCACGCUAAGGUCAGGGACUGCUUCUGACAAGAUAUCUGCUUUUUCUGUCAUGAUUGGGGAUAAUCCCACUGCCAAUUUGAGAUCGCUUGAUGCUCUAUUGGGGAUGGUGACAGCUAAAGUUGGAAAACGCCAUGCUUUGGCAGGUUUGGAAGCAUUGAAAGAACUUUUUGUUUCUAGUUUGCUGCCUGAUCGCAAAUUGAAGACACUCUUUCAGCGGCCGAUAGAUCAUAUUCCGGAUACAAAAGAUGGUUACUCGCUUCUACUCUUUUGGUAUUGGGAGGAAUGUUUGAAGCAAAGGUAUGAGCGGUAUAUCGCUGCUCUUGAGGAAGCAUCAAGAGAUGUCUUAGAUAUACUCAAAGACAAGGCAUUAAAGACAGUUUAUGUUUUGCUAAAGUGCAAACCAGAACAAGAGCGUCGAUUGCUUGCUGCCCUAGUAAACAAGCUAGGAGAUCCUAAAAACAAGGUUGCAUCUAAUGCUGAUUAUCACCUAUCAAAGCUUUUGGCUGACCAUCCAAAUAUGAAGGCUGUUGUGAUUGAUGAAGUAGAUAGUUUUCUUUUCCGGCCUCAUCUGGUAUUGCGAGCCAAGUAUCAUGCUGUUAACUUUUUAAGCCAAAUUCGCCUAAGUCACAGGGGGGAUGGCCCAAAGGUGGCAAAGCGUUUGAUAGAUGUAUAUUUUGCUCUAUUUAAGGUAUUAAUAUCUGAAGCAGGGGAAGGACGGACAAUGAAUAAGAAGAGCGAGGGACACAAGGAGGUUUCUGGCACUUUGAAAGAUAAGAAAGAAAAAGAUCUAUCAGAAUCUCAUGUUGAAAUGGAUUCACGCUUACUAUCCGCACUUCUUACGGGUGUGAAUAGAGCAUUCCCUUUCGUUUCAAGUGAUGAAGCCGAUGAUGUAAUUCAGGCCCAUACACCGGUAUUGUUUCAGCUGGUUCAUUCAAAGAACUUUAAUGUUGGAGUUCAAGCUCUCAUGCUCCUAGAUAAGAUCUCAGCAAAAAAUCACAUUGUUAGUGAUCGGUUUUAUCGUGCCUUGUAUGCAAAGCUUCUACUACCAACUGCAAUGAAUUCUUCCAAAGAGGAACUGUUUAUUGGACUCCUACUUAGGGCUAUGAAAAAUGAUGUAAAUGUGAAGCGAAUUGCUGCAUUCUCGAAGCGUUUAUUGCAGGUUGCAAUUCAGCAGCAGCCUCAGUACGCAUGUGGAUGUCUGUUUCUCCUGUCUGAGGUCCUUAAAUCGAAACCAACUCUCUGGAACAUGAUGCUCCAAAGUGAGUCUGUUGAUGAUGACCUUGAGCAUUUUGUAGAUAUUACAGAAGAAGAUGACGAUCAACCCAAUCCACCAAUUCAAAAAGAUAAUGCAAGUGAAGUUGCUCAAGAAGCUAAGCACUUGGAAAAUGGCAAUCAUUCUCUGCCGGAAGAAGGUAAUUCUAGUUCGGAGUCUGAUGAUGAUUCACUCCAAGCUGAGGAGUCUCCUGCUAGAGGUGAUUUAGAUGAACCAAAGAAUGCUAGAUUGAUGUCCGGAUUCAACAAACUUCUACCUGAAGGUUCGAAUGAUAAGCUCUUAUUGCCUGGAGGAUAUGAUACACGACACAGAGAACCUUCAUUUUGCAAUGCAGAUCGUGUAAGCUGGUGGGAGCUGAUGGUACUGGCAUCGCAUGCGCAUCCAUCAGUUGCAACCAUGGCUAGAACCCUUCUUUCAGGAGCUAACAUUGUGUACAAUGGUAAUCCCCUAAAUGAUCUUUCGCUGACUGCCUUCCUCGACAAAUUCAUGGAAAAGAAACCGAAACAAAGCACUUGGCAUGGUGCUUCUCAGAUUGAACCUGCUAAGAAGCUUGACAUGCAAGAUCAGCUGAUUGGGUCAGAAAUACUCUCCUUAGCUGAAACAGAUGUACCACCUGAGGAUCUUGUCUUCCAUAAAUUCUACGUGAAUAAGAUGAAGUCCUCGAAGAA
RNAcentral lists this unclassified non-coding RNA (2450 nucleotides) under Hevea brasiliensis (rubber tree). Lineage: Eukaryota; Viridiplantae; Streptophyta; Magnoliopsida; Malpighiales; Euphorbiaceae. The record is from RNAcentral.